This 21-nucleotide ribosomal RNA is filed under the name Huntiella savannae. RNAcentral describes it as "partial 18S ribosomal RNA". Lineage: Eukaryota; Fungi; Ascomycota; Sordariomycetes; Microascales; Ceratocystidaceae. The record is from RNAcentral.
GGUACCUCGGAGGGAUCAUUA